UGGGGAAUAUUGCACAAUGGGCGAAAGCCUGAUGCAGCAACGCCGCGUGAGGGACGACGGCCUUCGGGUUGUAAACCUCUUUUAGCAAGGAAGAAGCGAAAGUGACGGUACUUGCAGAAAAAGCGCCGGCUAACUACGUGCCAGCAGCCGCGGUAAUACGUAGGGCGCAAGCGUUAUCCGGAAUUAUUGGGCGUAAAGAGCUCGUAGGCGGUUUGUCGCGUCUGCUGUGAAAACCCGAGGCUCAACCUCGGGCCUGCAGUGGGUACGGGCAGACUAGAGUGUGGUAGGGGAGAUUGGAACUCCUGGUGUAGCGGUGGAAUGCGCAGAUAUCAGGAAGAACACCGAUGGCGAAGGCAGAUCUCUGGGCCGUAACUGACGCUGAGGAGCGAAAGGGUGGGGAGCAAACAGGCUUAGAUACCCUGGUAGUCCACCCCGUAAACGUUGGGAACUAGUUGUGGGUCCAUUCCACGGAUUCCGUGACGCAGCUAACGCAUUAAGUUCCCCGCCUGGGGAGUACGGCCGCAAGGCUAAAACUCAAAGGAAUUGACGGGGUCAUAGCUGUUUCC
Molecule: ribosomal RNA, 566 nt
Filed under: uncultured bacterium
Lineage: Bacteria
Description: partial 16S ribosomal RNA
Rfam family: Bacterial small subunit ribosomal RNA
Source: RNAcentral